UUCUUGCAAAGCUUUUACCUUUGGGCCAAUCCUUUGUAGUUUGAAAGGUUCUCUUACCUUGAUCCUUUUAAGUUUGGAGGUGAACAUGUAAUUAUCUUUUUCUUUUUUCCCAAAAGCCCAGCAUUUCAGCUGGAGAGUGGUAGCUGUCCCUAAAGAAAUACCUUGAGCAGGGAUGAGCUGUUUAAGGUUUUUUAGUUUUCCCUGUUGUGGUUUGUUUGGGGUUUUUUUUUAACUCUUUCUUGCCUGCUUCCUGGGACAGAGAAAAAAGUUAUGGAGCUCUGGACGGCUGGCAGAAACCUCCCCAAGCCCAAGGCUGAUGGAGUCUGGCAGGAUCCCAGCACUACAGCCGAUAGAUGAGCUUCAUCCACCUAAAUUCAAUCCCCAACCACCAAAGGAGAUGAGAACAUGUUUGGAUUGCCCAGCGUCUCGAUGGAGGCACUUCAAGGCUGGAAAGCAGGAGGCAGCCACAGCCCUGACUGAAGAGCAGGAUUUGACCCAGUCUUCAGGAGUAGAGGCUUCCAGUAUCCUGCCAGUGUCAGGUGUGCUGCAGCCAGGAGAGAGCCAGCAGGUCUCCUUGCCCUUCUCUGGCCACCUCAACAGCAUCUCCAGUGCCACGGCGCUGUGCCACGUGGAGGGAGGCCCC
This is a long non-coding RNA of Passer domesticus (house sparrow), 643 nucleotides long. RefSeq lists it as uncharacterized. The record is from RefSeq and is a predicted model, not a curated record. The transcript has 3 exons. NCBI's taxonomy places the organism in Eukaryota, Metazoa, Chordata, Aves, Passeriformes, Passeridae.